RNAcentral lists this ribosomal RNA (447 nucleotides) under uncultured bacterium. RNAcentral describes it as "partial 16S ribosomal RNA". It matches the Rfam family "Bacterial small subunit ribosomal RNA", at positions 29 to 523 of the family's 1533-position model. The record is from RNAcentral.
AGCGAACGCUGGCGGCAGGCCUAACACAUGCAAGUCGAGCGCCCCGCAAGGGGAGCGGCAGACGGGAGAGUAACACGUGGGAACGUACCCUUCAGUUCGGAACAACCCAGGGAAACUUGGGCUAAUACCGGAUACGUCCGUAAGGAGAAAGAUUUAUCGCUGAAGGAUCGGCCCGCGUCUGAUUAGCUAGUUGGUGAGGUAACGGCUCACCAAGGCGACGAUCAGUAGCUGGUCUGAGAGGAUGAUCAGCCUCACUGGGACUGAGACACGGCCCAGACUCCUACGGGAGGCAGCAGUGGGGAAUAUUGGAGAAUGGGCGCAAGCCUGAUCCAGCCAUGCCGCGUGGAUGAUGAAGGCCCUAGGGUUGUAAAGUCCUUUCGGCGGGGAAGAUAAUGACGGUACCCGCAGAAGAAGCCCCGGCUAACUUCGUGCCAGCCGCCGCCGUAA